AUCAAGUUUCAACCGCUCUUAAUUAAUACGUACAUAAGUAGAUUUAUAUCUCACGUAUAAAGGCGAGUCUAGACUGGAGG
Regulatory RNA element from Mesoplasma florum L1, 80 nucleotides. NCBI's taxonomy places the organism in Bacteria, Bacillati, Mycoplasmatota, Mollicutes, Entomoplasmatales, Entomoplasmataceae. The record is from Rfam.